GUCUUCGUAGUGUAACGGUUAGCACACUCGGCGCGUAUUCGAGAGAUCCAGGGUUCGAAUCCCGGCGAGGACA
This 73-nucleotide transfer RNA is filed under the name Stegodyphus mimosarum. It matches the Rfam family "tRNA". Rfam says of the family: Transfer RNA (tRNA) molecules are approximately 80 nucleotides in length. Lineage: Eukaryota; Metazoa; Arthropoda; Arachnida; Araneae; Eresidae. The record is from Rfam by way of RNAcentral.